RNAcentral lists this ribosomal RNA (484 nucleotides) under uncultured bacterium. Its description in RNAcentral is "bacterial SSU rRNA". It matches the Rfam family "Bacterial small subunit ribosomal RNA", at positions 8 to 518 of the family's 1533-position model. The record is from RNAcentral.
AGAGUUUGAUCCUGGCUUAGGAUGAACGCUGGCGGCGUGCCUAACACAUGCAAGUCGAGCGAUUCUCUUCGGAGAAGAGCGGCGGACGGGUGAGUAACGCGUGGGUAACCUGCCUCAUACACAUGGAUAACAUACCGAAAGGUAUGCUAAUACAAGAUAAUAUAAGAAAUUCACAUGGAUUUCUUAUCAAAGCUCCGGCGGUAUGAGAUGGACCCGCGUCUGAUUAGCUAGUUGGUAAGGUAACGGCUUACCAAGGCGACGAUCAGUAGCCGACCUGAGAGGGUGAUCGGCCACAUUGGAACUGAGACACGGUCCAAACUCCUACGGGAGGCAGCAGUGGGGAAUAUUGCACAAUGGGCGAAAGCCUGAUGCAAGCAACGCCGCGUGAGUGAUGAAGGCCUUCGGGUCGUAAAACUCUGUCCUCAAGGAAGAUAAUGACGGUACUUGAGGAGGAAGCCCCGGCUAACUACGUGCCAGCAGCAGC